AAAAGAGAGAAAUGGAUGGUGGCAGGUUACGGGGGAAAGAGAGCAGAAGAAAAGCUAUGGAGGAUCUUAUUUUUGGUGUAUUUCUUUAAUAAGAUAUUCAGUCAUGAAGUCAGAUUCUUUCGUAUGAUUUGCAGAUUGUCCUCGGCUGUACUGCCUGGAUCACGGCUCAUGCCAUGUGGAGAGACACGGGCCUGUUUGCAUCUGUUAUCCAGGAUGGACAGGCAACCGUUGCCAUGUGAAGGAGAAACCACCUCUCUCAACCUCAUCUCCUAAACCAGAGGACACACAGCUGGGUAAUAAAGAAACUCAAAUCCCUGUUCCUCUCUAUUAAACUGUCUCACCUGAAUUUAUUUACUGUAUCCUUGCAUUCCCUGUUAAUGUCUCUGCAGUUCAUUAAAGGUAGUUCUUUAUGCUUUAUAUGCCUCACUCUUAUUUAGAUGCUGUGUAUGUUGGCAUCGCCAUCGGCCUGCUGCUGCUCGUACUUGGAGUUGCUGUCGGCUUCCUGGCAUUACUCAAGAAAAGAUGCUGCUUAAUGUGAGUUCUGGUUGCGAUAAUCACAGCGUUUCUCCUUUUUACCGAUGAUGAUGUUGGUGAUGAUGAGUGCGUUUUCUUUGCUGGUUUCACAGAAAGCCCAACCCGAUGGACUACGGGGUGAUGGAUAACCCAGGCUUUGACUGGAGAGCAGAGGUCAGCGCACAGAAAUGUCCAAUCAAUCAUCAGCGAUAUCUGCUCGGGCAACAUUAGGUUUCUCGGCUAUACAAAUCUAAUUUUUCUGCCAUUCGCCUCACAUUUAUUCAAUAAUUGAAUCUAACAUUAGAGGAGGUCAGAAGGUGAUCGCCAAGCCUUUCUGCUAGAUUACAUUUUUGAUUUAGGAUUAUUGAUUUUGAGGUUUAUGUGUAUAUUUGUGUUUUUCUGAGUGCGUUUUACACUGUAGUGCAUAUACAGCCAGUAGGCACAAUAACUGAACCAUAUAAUCUGAUCAAAUGCAACACCAUAAGCUACGGUGCCAAAAAUAGCCAGUUUAAUCAACAGUCUUACAAAAAUGUGACAUGAUGAGAAGCUUUAGUAAAUAGCAAGGCUUUUAGACCUUAAAGGAUCAGUGUGAAGGAUUUAGAGGCAUCCAGCAGUGAGGAUGCACAUUGUUUUUUAGAUUUUUGUGACCUUUGUCAUAUAAUACAAGGCGACGAGAAACAUAAACAAUCAACAGGUCCGCCAUGAGUUGUGAUGUGAUGCCUGUUUGGCACAACGUGACUGGUUGAAGCCUUCAUUUGCAGAAAAAUCCUCAGAAAAAUCUACCUUGAUCCAAAAAAAAGAAUGUCACUUUUUGACUGUAUAAUAUUCACAUCCUUAAGUCCCCCAUGUGUAAUGAAAACAUCAAUAUUAUAUGCUAUUUCUGCCAAUAGAGCCUCUUAAAUGUUAAACACUGGACCUUUGUACCAGUACAACAAUGAAAAAAAGGAAACUCCUGCGUUCAGAACCAUAAGAAAGUAAAAGUAUCUUUAAUAAUGUAUGUUAUUUUAUAAUCUUAUAACAUUUUGUUCAUGUCAAAUCUUAAUCUGAAAAGAUAUAAUCACAGCUGUCAAAUACAUGUAGUGGAGUAGUACAAUAUUUCCCUCUGUGAUGUAGUAGAUGUAGUAGAAUAUAAAGUAAAGUACCUCAAAAUUAUACUGAGUACAGUACUUGAGUAAAUAUAUUGAGUUACAGUCCACCAUUACACAGGUGUACAGCUAUUGUGUCCACCCACUGUUUGCUUUCUGUCUCUGCUGUUAUUCCUCCUCUUACUGACACAAUCACAGUUGUUCCAUUUGGAUAAUGGCUCUCGUGUGUGUGUGUGUGUGUGUGUGUGUGUGUGUGUGUGUGUGUGUGGCGUUUAUGAGUGUGUGUUUCCAAAAAUGACAAAACGACUGAGUUGUGUGUCCCAGCACACACACAUACACAUACAUUUCUAUCUGUGUGGGUGUGCAGCGAGUGUCAUUCAGUAAUAAAAGUGAGAGUGAUGUUGAGAGCCACAAUGACUCUGAUGAUAGAGAUUAUUAUAGAUUUAAUGGUGCUGA
This 2054-nucleotide long non-coding RNA is filed under the name Dicentrarchus labrax (European seabass). RNAcentral describes it as "lncRNA (ENSDLAG00005031582.1)". Lineage: Eukaryota; Metazoa; Chordata; Actinopteri; Moronidae. The record is from RNAcentral.